GCCAGUGUAAUGUACUGGUUUGAGUGUUGGAUUAGGACUCUGGGAGACCUGAGUUCAAAUCCCAGCUUUGGCA
Molecule: non-coding RNA, 73 nt
Organism: Phrynosoma platyrhinos (Desert horned lizard)
Lineage: Eukaryota; Metazoa; Chordata; Lepidosauria; Squamata; Phrynosomatidae
Source: the annotation of a GenBank genome assembly